Molecule: ribosomal RNA, 274 nt
Filed under: uncultured bacterium
Lineage: Bacteria
Description: partial 16S ribosomal RNA
Rfam family: Bacterial small subunit ribosomal RNA
Source: RNAcentral
AUACGGAGGGUGCAAGCGUUACUCGGAAUCACUGGGCGUAAAGCGCGCGCAGGCGGUCUUUUAAGUUGGAUGUGAAAGCCUACGGCUCAACCGUAGAACUGCAUCCAAAACUAUUAGACUAGAGUGUGGGAGAGGAAGAUGGAAUUAGUUGUGUAGGGGUAAAAUCCGUAGAGAUGACUAGGAAUACCAAAAGCGAAGGCAAUCUUCUGGAACACUACUGACGCUGAGGCGCGAAAGCGUGGGGAGCAAACAGGAUUAGAUACCCUAGUAGUCC